RNAcentral lists this unclassified non-coding RNA (225 nucleotides) under Melitaea cinxia (Glanville fritillary). RNAcentral's name for it is "misc RNA ENSMCXG00005000601.1". Lineage: Eukaryota; Metazoa; Arthropoda; Insecta; Lepidoptera; Nymphalidae. The record is from RNAcentral.
CAGUAACUUUGCUUAUAAAAUACCGUCUUGUGUGAUUAAAUGGUGCAAAAACAAUACCAAAGUAAACAAAAAAUCUGAAGGAAUAUCGUUUCACACGUUUCCAACGAAUAUUUUAAUAAGAGGUGAAUGGGUAGCGGCUGCGAGACUGAGAAAAUGACCACGAUUAUGCUGGCCAUGCGCAUAAAGUCAAUUUAAUACGAUUAGUGAUUGAAAAAUAUUUGAACA